UAUUUGGCCAAUGUAGUUUAGGCUUAAUAUUUUGCCAAAAAAAUCUGUUUUUACAUUUAUACCCUAGCCAAUAUUUGGCCAGUAUAUACUUUUAAAAUGUUUCGAAACAUUUUUUAAAAAUGGUAUCGUUUGACAGAAUAAAAAAAGGUAAAGUUGUAUCCUUGAAAGAUAUGCUGGUAUUAUUGGCACAAUGGGCAAGCAUUGAAGUGCCACUUGGUGAACUCCAAAACACAUCAAUUUCAGUUAUAAAAAUUUGAGUAACAAAGGUAUGCUAAUUAUUUUAUUGCCUGAAAGAGUGUAAUUGCCAUUAAAAGCAGUAAAGAAUUCAAGGACUGGAAGAAAAAAGACAAUAAAAUACUUAAGUAAAUGGUAAAUUUUUUUUUUAAAUCUUUUUAUGCAUUUUGUAUGAUAUCUUAGUACAACUUAUAUACUUUAAAUAAAAUACUCUUUGAAGAUUUCUUGUAAAUGACAUUUUAUAUUAAUUUAAGUCUAAACAAAAGUUACUUUAAUUAUUGCCAGGUUGUGUAUUUUUGCACUUCAAUUAUUUGGCACAAAUUAGAGUUAAAGACGAAGGAGAUUGGAUAUGUUAUUUACUAAGAAUAGUUUUUUAAAAUGGCCUAGCUGUAAAAUUAAACUAUACAGGGAGAGGAUAAAAAACUGAAAUAGGAAAAAUGUUGAUUGCAUAUGUUUUUAUUGAAACUGAAGAAGUCAAAUAAGCAUGGCUUAUGCAGACACGUGAUAGAGAUAGUGCAAGAAAAAAUAAUAAACGUGGGCACCAAAUAUGAUAAGCUAAACACGAUUCAAUAACAAGUAGCUCAGCCAAUAUCGAAACUGCUCUAUAAAUUUUAUGAAUUUUUUUAUUUAAAAGUCAAUGUGUCAGUUUUUGGUUUAAGUUUGGUGUUUUCAAUAUUUAUAUUUAAC
This is a long non-coding RNA of Hydra vulgaris (swiftwater hydra), 921 nucleotides long. RefSeq lists it as uncharacterized. The record is from RefSeq and is a predicted model, not a curated record. NCBI's taxonomy places the organism in Eukaryota, Metazoa, Cnidaria, Hydrozoa, Anthoathecata, Hydridae.